RNAcentral lists this ribosomal RNA (495 nucleotides) under uncultured bacterium. RNAcentral's name for it is "partial 16S ribosomal RNA". It matches the Rfam family "Bacterial small subunit ribosomal RNA", at positions 28 to 507 of the family's 1533-position model. The record is from RNAcentral.
GACGAACGCUGGCGGCGUGCCUAAUACAUGCAAGUAGAACGCUGAAGGAGGAGCUUGCUUCUCUGGAUGAGUUGCGAACGGGUGAGUAACGCGUAGGUAAUCUGCCUGGUAGCGGGGGAUAACUAUUGGAAACGAUAGCUAAUACCGCAUAAGAGUAGAUGUUGCAUGACAUUUGCUUAAAAGGUGCAAUUGCAUCACUACCAGAUGGACCUGCGUUGUAUUAGCUAGUUGGUGAGGUAACGGCUCACCAAGGCGACGAUACAUAGCCGACCUGAGAGGGUGAUCGGCCACACUGGGACUGAGACACGGCCCAGACUCCUACGGGAGGCAGCAGUAGGGAAUCUUCGGCAAUGGACGGAAGUCUGACCGAGCAACGCCGCGUGAGUGAAGAAGGUUUUCGGAUCGUAAAGCUCUGUUGUAAGAGAAGAACGAGUGUGAGAGUGGAAAGUUCACACUGUGACGGUAUCUUACCAGAAAGGGACGGCUAACUACGUG